GGUGUUGAUUGCCGCGAGGGUCCACCCGUUCCCAUCCCGAACACGGAAGUUAAGCUCGCCGGCGCUGAAGAUACUUGGCUGGAGACGGCCCGGGAAAAUAAGUUUUCGCC
This 110-nucleotide ribosomal RNA is filed under the name uncultured Acutalibacter sp. The record is from RNAcentral. Lineage: Bacteria; Bacillati; Bacillota; Clostridia; Eubacteriales; Acutalibacteraceae.